UACGUAGGGUGCAAGCGUUAAUCGCAAUUACUGGGCGUAAAGCGUGCGCAGGCGGUUUUGUAAGUCUGACGUGAAAGCCCCGGGCUCAACCUGGGAAUUGCGUUGGAGACUGCAAGGCUUGAAUCUGGCAGAGGGGGGUAGAAUUCCACGUGUAGCAGUGAAAUGCGUAGAGAUGUGGAGGAACACCGAUGGCGAAGGCAGCCCCCUGGGUCAAGAUUGACGCUCAUGCACGAAAGCGUGGGGAGCAAACAGG
RNAcentral lists this ribosomal RNA (253 nucleotides) under uncultured bacterium. Its description in RNAcentral is "partial 16S ribosomal RNA". It matches the Rfam family "Bacterial small subunit ribosomal RNA", at positions 524 to 776 of the family's 1533-position model. The record is from RNAcentral.